AGAGUGAACGCUGGCGGUAGGCCUAACACAUGCAAGUCGAACGGCAGCACGGUAAGAGCUUGCUCUUAUGGGUGGCGAGUGGCGGACGGGUGAGGAAUACAUCGGAAUCUACCUUUUGGUGGGGGAUAACGUAGGGAAACUUACGCUAAUACCGCAUACGCCCUUCGGGGGAAAGCCGGGGACCAGCAAUGGCCUGGCGCUGAUAGAUGAGCCGAUGUCGGAUUAGCUAGUUGGUGAGGUAAAGUGCUCAACGAGACGACGAUCGUAGCUGGUUUGAGAGGACGACCAGCCACACUGGGACUGAGACACGGCCCAGACUCCUACGGGAGGCAGCAGUGGGAAUUUUGGACAAUGGGGGAAACCCUGAUCCAGGCCAUCCCGCGUGUGCGAUGAAGGCCUUCGGUGUAAAGCACGUUUUGCGAAGGUAAGAAACGGCGUCUCGUUAAGUACGACGGCGU
RNAcentral lists this ribosomal RNA (458 nucleotides) under uncultured soil bacterium. RNAcentral describes it as "bacterial SSU rRNA". It matches the Rfam family "Bacterial small subunit ribosomal RNA", at positions 26 to 478 of the family's 1533-position model. The record is from RNAcentral.